GUGAUUGACGCCUUCAAGAUGGCGGUGUUUGAGAAGAAGAAGGAGAGUAAACUGAAUUUAGAUGACACGCAAUGUUUAACAUGCACUAUCGAAGCAGCUGAAAAUGUACAAGACUUUACGAUUUAUAUUAUUCGAGUGCAGCGAGGUCCUUUUGUAGAUAAUUCAUGGCAAAUAUCUCGUCGAUACAGUGACUUUGAUGCACUAAAUAAUAUGCUGCAAAUAUCGGGAGUUGAAUUACCUCUCCCUCCAAAAAGAGUAUUUGGAAAACUGGGCAGAGAAUUUGUAGCUGAAAGGCAGCAAGGAUUACAACAAUAUAUGAAUACAAUUUUAUCACAUCCAAUGCUAGCUUUAUCAUUACCAGUUAAAAGAUUUUUAGACCCAGAAAAUUAUUCACAGAACUUCUUAGAGAUAGCUCUUCAACAUGUUUCAAUGGUUUUUCGAUCAGAAUUGAGAUGGGAAAUAGUUGAACCUUUUCCAGAUAUAGGAUGGCGAUUAAGGAAAGAAUAUUUUCUUAUUAAACCUAAAGCUGAUGCAAAACAAAGGUUACUGUUAUCUUGGCAACCCUUUGGAAUAGAUAAAAAUCUUGAAGAUAGAGACUUACAAAGUAUUAUGAAGCUUUUAAAUACAAUUCAGCAUCCUCAUAUAUGCCCUGUGAUAUUUGCUUGCAUAAGUGAAAAUGGUGGUCUAGUCAUUCGCAAUUAUCAACAGAAUGGUAGUUUGCGUGACAUGUUAUGUAAAACAAAACCAAAAGGUGUAUUUUUGAAGAAGUAUGCUAAGCCAAAAACUUGUUCACCUCUUCCUCCUAAAUUAAUUCAAGUUUAUGGUCGACAAGUUUUGUUAGCACUGAAAUUUCUUCAUGAAAAAGGCAUUCCUCAUGGCCAUCUACAUGCUGGAAAUGUAUUUAUUGAAGGUAAUACCUGUCAAAUCUCAGAAAUAGAAAAUCAGCUUUUAGGACAACCUGCUUAUCUGCGUCCUUUAUUUGUGCAACUUCGUAAAGUACAAACAUUAGAAGUUAUUGAUGUAUACUCCUUUGGUCAUCUAUUGUAUGAAAUGACAUUUGGAAUUCCAUGUUUUACACCAACUUGUGAUAACUUUCCAUCAUCUUGUCCAGCAGAACUUAGAUCUGUAUUAGAAGCAAUACUUACAAAAGAAGCAUGUAAAAAUGGACUUCCUUCUGUUAUGAAUCUUUUAUCUCAUCCAUUCUUUUCAAUUGCAACAAAUGUUGAGAAGGGACAUUUAAAAAUAUCAUCACAAUUAAAAGAUAGUAUAAAGCUAUCUAUUGAACAAAUGCAUCAACAAUUAAAAGAAGAGCAACGUGUGAUUAGGCAUAGUCAACGACUUUCGAAAGUACAUGCACAGUUGAAUUCAGAAGAAAAUAAGAAAAAACGACAAGAUGAGAGGCGAAAGCAGCAAAAAUUACAAUUAGGUGUGUCUGCAACACAAAAUGGCCCAUCACCAAGUCCUACUACUCCUGGAUCCACAUCAUGAUGUUUGUGGCACAUCAAAAUUCUUCAUUUCCAAUGUGUGUUCAUCCAGGACUUCACACCCAUUUCUAGUCAUUUCCGAAAAGUGCUUCGUCGCCGGCCUUAUCUUCUAUGGUAGUUGGAAAUGCAGUAUCACAACCGCCGCCGCCGCCACCACCACCACCACUCAUUCCAUCGUCAUCGCUGUUCUCACUUUCUACG
This 1685-nucleotide unclassified non-coding RNA is filed under the name Centruroides sculpturatus (bark scorpion). Its description in RNAcentral is "pX domain-containing protein kinase-like protein, transcript variant X1". Lineage: Eukaryota; Metazoa; Arthropoda; Arachnida; Scorpiones; Buthidae. The record is from RNAcentral.